Dermacentor silvarum is the source of this 352-nucleotide long non-coding RNA. RefSeq lists it as uncharacterized. NCBI's taxonomy places the organism in Eukaryota, Metazoa, Arthropoda, Arachnida, Ixodida, Ixodidae. The record is from RefSeq and is a predicted model, not a curated record. The transcript has 2 exons.
AAACAGAAAAUGGAUGCUAUUUCAACAAAACGUGGCUCAGCCCGGAACACAAGGUUUACAGUACUCAGCCUUGCCAGAUGGUAGAGUGCGAUGCGAAUCGAACCAUCUAUAUAACUACGUGCCCUAUAAAGAACCUCACUGGCUGCACACCUAUAGUGGACAAUAGACCCUUCCCCAAGUGCUGCCGGAGAUGUCAGGAUUGAAGGCAAUAAACUUCGCACUAUGGUCGCACAUACCUUCGAAAGACCUAGAUGUACUAACAUAUGACUAUUACAGGCGGCCAUCUUGACUGUUGUUUAAGAAAUUCCUUCAAAAACGAACAGCGCAUGAAAUAAAGCUAUCUUUAUCCUUC